RNAcentral lists this long non-coding RNA (199 nucleotides) under Capsicum annuum. RNAcentral's name for it is "long non-coding RNA (CANN_LNC021982)". Lineage: Eukaryota; Viridiplantae; Streptophyta; Magnoliopsida; Solanales; Solanaceae. The record is from RNAcentral.
CAAAAUUCAAGGGAAAUUUAUAAUACAAACUUUGUCAACAAAAUAUGAAAAUACAAUACUCAACUUUCAUCUUCAAAGCCUCUACUGACCACUAUCUUUCUAGGCUGGGAAAAGGCCCCUAGCUGAAUCAUAAAAUUAAUGAUAUUACAUAUGGAUAGAAUACCUUUCAGUGUAAGGGAGGCUCACCACUCUAAACUUC